RNAcentral lists this unclassified non-coding RNA (352 nucleotides) under soil metagenome. Its description in RNAcentral is "partial contains 5.8S ribosomal RNA, internal transcribed spacer 2, and large subunit ribosomal RNA". The stretch from base 1 to 120 matches the Rfam family "5.8S ribosomal RNA", at positions 35 to 154 of the family's 154-position model. The record is from RNAcentral.
GAUGAAGAACGCAGCGAAAUGCGAUAAGUAAUGUGAAUUGCAGAAUUCAGUGAAUCAUCGAAUAUUUGAACGCACAUUGCGCCCGCCAGUAUUCUGGCGGGCAUGCCUGUUCGAGCGUCAUUACAACCCUCAGGCCCCCGGGCCUGGCGUUGGGGAUCGGCGGAAGCCCCCUGUGGGCACACGCCGUCCCUCAAAUACAGUGGCGGUCCCGCCGCAGCUUCCAUUGCGUAGUAGCUAACACCUGGCAACUGGAGAGCGGCGCGGCCAUGCCGUAAAACACCCAACUUCUGAAUGUUGACCUCGAAUCAGGUAGGAAUACCCGCUGAACUUAAGCAUAUCAAUAAGCGGAGGA